This 465-nucleotide ribosomal RNA is filed under the name Vreelandella stevensii. RNAcentral's name for it is "partial 16S ribosomal RNA". It matches the Rfam family "Bacterial small subunit ribosomal RNA", at positions 338 to 795 of the family's 1533-position model. The record is from RNAcentral. Lineage: Bacteria; Pseudomonadati; Pseudomonadota; Gammaproteobacteria; Oceanospirillales; Halomonadaceae.
CCUACGGGGGGCAGCAGUGGGGAAUAUUGGACAAUGGGGGGAACCCUGAUCCAGCCAUGCCGCGUGUGUGAAGAAGGCCCUCGGGUUGUAAAGCACUUUCAGUGAGGAAGAACGCCUGGUGGUUAAUACCCAUCAGGAAAGACAUCACUCACAGAAGAAGCACCGGCUAACUCCGUGCCAGCAGCCGCGGUAAUACGGAGGGUGCGAGCGUUAAUCGGAAUUACUGGGCGUAAAGCGCGCGUAGGUGGCUCGAUAAGCCGGUUGUGAAAGCCCCGGGCUCAACCUGGGAACGGCAUCCGGAACUGUCAAGCUAGAGUGCAGGAGAGGAAGGUAGAAUUCCCGGUGUAGCGGUGAAAUGCGUAGAGAUCGGGAGGAAUACCAGUGGCGAAGGCGGCCUUCUGGACUGACACUGACACUGAGGUGCGAAAGCGUGGGUAGCAAACAGGAUUAGAUACCCGUGUAGUC